This 424-nucleotide ribosomal RNA is filed under the name uncultured Acidovorax sp. Its description in RNAcentral is "bacterial SSU rRNA". It matches the Rfam family "Bacterial small subunit ribosomal RNA", at positions 956 to 1382 of the family's 1533-position model. The record is from RNAcentral. Lineage: Bacteria; Pseudomonadati; Pseudomonadota; Betaproteobacteria; Burkholderiales; Comamonadaceae.
GCAACGCGAAAACCUUACCACCUUUGACAUGUACGGAAUCCUUAGAGAUAGAGGAGUGCUCGAAAGAGAGCCGUAACACAGGUGCUGCAUGGCUGUCGUCAGCUCGUGUCGUGAGAUGUUGGGUUAAGUCCCGCAACGAGCGCAACCCUUGUCAUUAGUUGCUACAUUCAGUUGGGCACUCUAAUGAGACUGCCGGUGACAAACCGGAGGAAGGUGGGGAUGACGUCAAGUCCUCAUGGCCCUUAUAGGUGGGGCUACACACGUCAUACAAUGGAUGGUACAAAGGGUCGCCAACCCGCGAGGGGGGAGCCAAUCCCAUAAAGCCAUUCGUAGUCCGGAUCGCAGUCUGCAACUCGACUGCGUGAAGUCGGAAUCGCUAGUAAUCGUGGAUCAGAAUGUCACGGUGAAUACGUUCCCGGGUCUU